RNAcentral lists this long non-coding RNA (1075 nucleotides) under Canis lupus dingo (dingo). Its description in RNAcentral is "lncRNA (ENSCAFG00020019827.1)". The record is from RNAcentral. Lineage: Eukaryota; Metazoa; Chordata; Mammalia; Carnivora; Canidae.
CAGAAAGGCACGGGGAGGCUUUGGGGGAAAACCCACUCUCCUGCUUUUGGGGACAGAAUGGACUCACUGCUCCUGAUGCUUGAGAGACGGGAGAUGUUGCCGUUCAUCAUCAUCCCAGUAGAUGCCAUUUAUGGGACACCUAAAAGGACAGUAAGGCCCUUUUGGACAUUAUUUCUAGUCUUUACAGCGUAUUUUGCCAGAUGGUGUCAUUUAACAGGUGAGAGACUAAAGGUUGAGAGAGGUUAAGCAUUUUCCCCAAGGCCACACAGCUUUUAAGUGGCCAAUGUCUGAUGAGCUCAGGCUUAUCUGUCCCCAGAGCCCCAGAUCUUCCCACGUCCCACUGUUUCUCUUCCCAAGCUUCUUCACCCUAUAAAUUUGGUCAUUCAACACACACUGAUUAGGCCAGGCCUGGUACUGGACCAUGGAAAUGACAGGGAGACAGAGCAUGAGCAGGUGCCACCAGGGCUGGGCAUACGUCAGGGACCAGGCCUCUGUUCCCCGGGCUGAUAUAAUCCCCCCAAGAGGACAGACGUGCAGGACGCCGCGACGGCAGCGAGGGGUCCUGAGUGUCGCUGAAGAUAACCAAGACCGACGCUCUGCAACUCACCAUCUGAUGGAGGUGUCACACGUGACGGUCACGAUUGUGAUGACACGGUUCUGCGAGGGGCACCAGGACGGGACCGUUAACGUGUUCUCACCUGUGUCAGGUGUGUAUUUUAGUCUCAUUUAAGCCUGGCCAGCACCUGGUGUGGUUCAUGCUAUUGCUUUCCCCAGGAAGAAACUGAGGUGGGCCGAAGCUUCGGAGCAUGUCCAAGGUACACGGAUUGGAUCCCAACUCGGAUCUGAGCCUGUGAUCGGCUGGGCCUGGAGGAGCCUGUGCUCCUGCCCUGCUACGUGGCUUCUUGAAGGCAAAGGGGACCCAGCACGCCCCGGCGUGGACCCCGCGAUGGACACAGGCCUUGAAGAGGGUGACAGACACAUCAGACACGGCGCACGUGCCCCCCCCCGACAUCGGACACAGAAGUGCCACGCCCGUGCUCACACACACGCACACGCAGUACUCAGAGCUCUCCCC